GAUGAACGCUGGCGGCGUGCCUAAUACAUGCAAGUAGAACGCUGAAGCUUGGUGCUUGCACCGAGCGGAUGAGUUGCGAACGGGUGAGUAACGCGUAGGUAACCUGCCUCUUAGCGGGGGAUAACUAUUGGAAACGAUAGCUAAUACCGCAUAAAAGUCGAUAUCGCAUGAUAUUGAUUUGAAAGGUGCAAUUGCAUCACUAAGAGAUGGACCUGCGUUGUAUUAGCUAGUUGGUGAGGUAACGGCUCACCAAGGCGACGAUACAUAGCCGACCUGAGAGGGUGAUCGGCCACACUGGGACUGAGACACGGCCCAGACUCCUACGGGAGGCAGCAGUAGGGAAUCUUCGGCAAUGGGGGCAACCCUGACCGAGCAACGCCGCGUGAGUGAAGAAGGUUUUCGGAUCGUAAAGCUCUGUUGUAAGAGAAGAACGAGUGUGAGAGUGGAAAGUUCACGCUGUGACGGUAUCUUACCAGAAAGGGACGGCUAACUACGUGCCAGCAGCCGCGGUAAUACGUAGGUCCCGAGCGUUAUCCGGAUUUAUUGGGCGUAAAGCGAGCGCAGGCGGUUAGAUAAGUCUGAAGUUAAAGGCUGUGGCUUAACCAUAGUACGCUUUGGAAACUGUUUAACUUGAGUGCAGAAGGGGAGAGUGGAAUUCCAUGUGUAGCGGUGAAAUGCGUAGAUAUAUGGAGGAACACCGGUGGCGAAAGCGGCUCUCUGGUCUGUAACUGACGCUGAGGCUCGAAAGCGUGGGGAGCAAACAGG
RNAcentral lists this ribosomal RNA (765 nucleotides) under uncultured Streptococcus sp. RNAcentral describes it as "bacterial SSU rRNA". It matches the Rfam family "Bacterial small subunit ribosomal RNA", at positions 28 to 776 of the family's 1533-position model. Lineage: Bacteria; Bacillati; Bacillota; Bacilli; Lactobacillales; Streptococcaceae. The record is from RNAcentral.